CCUACGGGUGGCAGCAGUGAGGAAUAUUGGUCAAUGGGCGCGAGCCUGAACCAGCCAAGUCGCGUGAGGGAGGACGGCCCUACGGGUUGUAAACCUCUUUUGCCGGGGAGCAACGGGCGUCACGUGUGGCGCCACUGAGAGUACCCGGAGAAAAAGCAUCGGCUAACACCGUGCCGGCAGCCCGGGUAAUCCGGGGGAUGCGAGCUUUACCCGGAUUUUUUGGGUUUAAAGGGUCCGAAGGCGGAUCGUUAAGUCAGUGGUCAAAUUGGGGGUCUCAACCCCUUCCCGCCAUUGAAACUGGCGUUCUUGAGUGGAAGAGAAGUAUGCGGAAUGCGUGGUGUAGCGGUGAAAUGCAUAGAUAUCACGCAGAACCCCGAUUGCGAAGGCAGCAUGCCGGCUUCCGACUGACGCUGAAGCACGAAAGCGUGGGGAUCGAACAGGAUUAGAUACCCGUGUAGUC
This 460-nucleotide ribosomal RNA is filed under the name uncultured bacterium. Its description in RNAcentral is "partial 16S ribosomal RNA". It matches the Rfam family "Bacterial small subunit ribosomal RNA", at positions 338 to 795 of the family's 1533-position model. The record is from RNAcentral.